RNAcentral lists this small nucleolar RNA (132 nucleotides) under Meriones unguiculatus (Mongolian gerbil). RNAcentral's name for it is "Small nucleolar RNA SNORA17 (ENSMUGG00000019543.1)". It matches the Rfam family "Small nucleolar RNA SNORA17". From Rfam's summary of the family: snoRNA ACA 17 belongs to the H/ACA family of snoRNAs and is predicted to guide pseudouridylation of the 28S rRNA at positions U4659 and U4598. It shares the same host gene together with ACA43. The record is from RNAcentral. Lineage: Eukaryota; Metazoa; Chordata; Mammalia; Rodentia; Muridae.
CCUGCCCCUACAGGCAUUACAGGUGUGGGCACUGUGUCACAUGUGCACCAGUACAUGGCUGAGAGGAGAGAGACUGUGUCUCUGCUCAGUAUUCUGACUUCUGAACAUCUGCACGGUUAGUAACCUAACGUA